Molecule: long non-coding RNA, 233 nt
Filed under: Sorghum bicolor (sorghum)
Lineage: Eukaryota; Viridiplantae; Streptophyta; Magnoliopsida; Poales; Poaceae
Description: long non-coding RNA (SBIC_LNC016276)
Source: RNAcentral
AUAUAAUCCCGGUAGUCAAUUGAAAUCACGAAGGACUUCAAACCAACUCGCAACAAACCAAGAUCGUAAUAGUUCAACAUAAACACAGCGAAUGCUACAUAGUCAUUCAUUGCCGUCGAAGCGGCACCACAUCGGAGUCAUUAAGUUAUUACAAUCCAAGUUCGAAGUAGCGGAAGCAAAAUAGUUACACACACUUGUUCAAAGUUCAGUUCACAAGUUUCUGUUACUGCCAG